UGGCGGCGUGCCUAAUACAUGCAAGUAGAACGCUGAAGAGAGGAGCUUGCUCUUCUUGGAUGAGUUGCGAACGGGUGAGUAACGCGUAGGUAACCUGCCUGGUAGCGGGGGAUAACUAUUGGAAACGAUAGCUAAUACCGCAUAAAAUUGAUUAUUGCAUGAUAAUUAAUUGAAAGAUGCAACUGCAUCACUACCAGAUGGACCUGCGUUGUAUUAGCUAGUUGGUGAGGUAACGGCUCACCAAGGCGACGAUACAUAGCCGACCUGAGAGGGUGAUCGGCCACACUGGGACUGAGACACGGCCCAAACUCCUACGGGAGGCACCAAAAGG
Molecule: ribosomal RNA, 331 nt
Filed under: uncultured Streptococcus sp.
Lineage: Bacteria; Bacillati; Bacillota; Bacilli; Lactobacillales; Streptococcaceae
Description: bacterial SSU rRNA
Rfam family: Bacterial small subunit ribosomal RNA
Source: RNAcentral